Molecule: ribosomal RNA, 253 nt
Filed under: uncultured bacterium
Lineage: Bacteria
Description: partial 16S ribosomal RNA
Rfam family: Bacterial small subunit ribosomal RNA
Source: RNAcentral
UACAGAGGUCCCAAGCGUUGUUCGGAUUCACUGGGCGUAAAGGGUGCGUAGGUGGCCGGGUAAGUCUGACGUGAAAUCUCCGAGCCUAACUCGGAAACUGCAUCGGAUACUAUCCGGCUUGAGGGUUGGAGGGGGGACUGGAAUACUUGGUGUAGCAGUGAAAUGCGUAGAUAUCAAGUGGAACACCAGUGGCGAAGGCGAGUCCCUGGACAACUCCUGACGCUGAGGCACGAAAGCUAGGGGAGCAAACAGG